Molecule: long non-coding RNA, 896 nt
Organism: Carcharodon carcharias (great white shark)
Lineage: Eukaryota; Metazoa; Chordata; Chondrichthyes; Lamniformes; Lamnidae
Exons: 4
Source: RefSeq, a predicted model, not a curated record
UUUUGGAACGUUCUGUAUUCGCGAAAGGAACUAAUUAACUGCAAUUUUUCCCCCCUUUUAUUUUGUUUCUUCUCAGUUUAUGGUGAGUGGCUUGAAGGGGAACUUCCAAGUGGUGCCAUUCCCACCUAUCUGCUGUCCUUGUCCUUCUAGAUGGUAGCUGUCGUGGGUUUGAAAGGUGCUGUCAAAGGAGCCUUGGUGAAUCGCUGCAGGGUUGAAUGACUAAUGAGCAGCGACAUUCUCACAUUGAUGACCAUAAACGUUCAAGAGAGGAAAUAAAUGCAGCAGAAUAAGUUGUCAAGGGACUGAUGAGCAAAUUUUGGAAAGAUAUUUGGCACAAAACAUGAACUUCAAAAGAAAAGAGCUGAGAUACGAAGAAAAGAAACUGUUCCCGCUCGUAAACAGAUCGAGGACAAGGGGACACAGUCUAAGAGUGCUUUGCAAAAGAAGCAAAUGCGAGGAAUACAUAAGGAACAGGGUUAAAAGCCAACUGCAACCCUGGUCUCCAUGUGCUAGUCUGGCAUUAGUCUGUGCUUGAAGGUCACAGCUGAAGAACAUCAAUUGAGCAUCCCUGCGCUCGCAGAUAAAAAAGUCUCUCUGAUUGCUGGAAGCAAGUCACAAGUCAGAAAAGCCAUUGCCAAAAUGCAAACAGGACAACUCCUUUCAGCUAACCUGCAGAACCAAGAAUCUCCAAACCAACUGUUCAACUGCCAAAGUCAGCGCUACCGGAAUCACCCAGCUUAACAGCCGCAAUGUUUCACCAUCCACUCCUCGCGGACAAGCUAAAGACUGAUUUGUAUAUCAUUUUUAACUUUUAUUUCUGGAUCCACUUCGCAUUUCUAAUCUGUUUGUAUGUGUGUUGUGGUUUUAUUAUUUUUUUCUCACCUUUUAGUAGCUAA